This 88-nucleotide microRNA precursor is filed under the name Ateles geoffroyi (black-handed spider monkey). The record is from RNAcentral. Lineage: Eukaryota; Metazoa; Chordata; Mammalia; Primates; Atelidae.
CAGCGUGCAGUGCCUUUCUCAAGAAGGUGUCAUUCAUGUGAACUAAAAUAUGAAUGUCGCCUUCUUGAGAAGAGUAAUGUACAGCAUG